ACUGUAAUAUUUUUUUUUUCUACUUAACUUCUUCGUCUCAUGAGAGAGACCACUUCCAACGAUAGGUUUUUAUUCUGCUUUUCUUUUUCUUAAGUUCUCCUUUUUUUUUCCGCCGCUCACUUUCGUACGUCGAAUCUAUACUUGUCUUCAUUACCAGUUUAGGAUUAGCUACUCCGAUUCUAGGGUUUUUAAAACCACUAGUUGUAUGUAACUAAUCUCUCUUUUUUUUUUGGAACAAUCACAAGAUCCUUUUCUCGGGUGGUCUUUGAAUUUUUUAUAUUGCUUGAAUUGUUGAAGCUUUUGAGAAUGUAAAGUCAUUAUAUAUGUCGAUGUGUUUGAAGCUGUUUGUGUUUCCUUCCUUAACAAUAGUUAGAUGAUCAGAUUUCAUCCGAAGAACCUCUGUUUCAGAGACAUUCGUCGACAUCUUGCUAUGCUUCUGAUCGGAUGGUCUUGGCGUCCUAGGUGGACCGGAUUGGUUUACCUAGGGUUCCGUUCUAAGCUCUGGUUCUCUGGACCGCUCCGCCGGGGUUUGGCGCUCGCCGCGUUUGGCUUGCUUUCACCGCUCUCUCUGCCUUCUCAGUCUGCCGCACCUUGUGGUCAAGGCUCGGUUCUGGCACCAAGAAAUCGAGCGGGGAGAUUCCUCCUAGUGCGGCAGUUUCACGGUUAUUCUGGUGAGAUAGUUAGAAAGUUUUGAUCGUUUUUGAUUGAUUGUUAUACUUGUGGAUUUUGCAGAGUUAGUGAUGAAAACAGAGAGAAAGGGAAGGAUGUUGUGACGGAGAAGGAUCUUGAGCAUCUGUUGCAUCUGCUUGAAGCUGGGAAUGCAGAUAUGGAAUGGCAAUCUAUGAUAUAAGUCUACUCCUAACAUGAGCUACCAGGCCUGGCGUCAUGAGCCUCAGGCAGGUCCUGUUGUUUAUCUAACUAUUCAGGAUGAUGUAGAAAAGACUUUCCAAGGAACAGACCAAACUGAGGAUCUGCCUGAGAAGGAAUCAAGUGGUGAUCAGACUGUGUAUCGUUGUAUAAAUGUCUUAGCCUGUUACCUUGAUUCUUAAACCAAGACAGAAACCUGCACAGUUUGUAAAAGUGUUAAACGGUCACUAGAUUAUUUAGUUUUUUUUAUUGAAUUAGUUAACAUGCUAACAUAAAUAUAUAAAAGAACUUUCGCCACUU
Long non-coding RNA from Raphanus sativus (radish), 1167 nucleotides. RefSeq lists it as uncharacterized. The transcript has 2 exons. Lineage: Eukaryota; Viridiplantae; Streptophyta; Magnoliopsida; Brassicales; Brassicaceae. The record is from RefSeq and is a predicted model, not a curated record.